Molecule: long non-coding RNA, 3245 nt
Organism: Hippocampus zosterae (dwarf seahorse)
Lineage: Eukaryota; Metazoa; Chordata; Actinopteri; Syngnathiformes; Syngnathidae
Exons: 3
Source: RefSeq, a predicted model, not a curated record
GGCGGCCCGGUAGUCCAGUGGUUAGCACGUUGGAUUCACAGUGCAGAGGUACCGGGUUCGAUUCCAGCUCCGGCCUCCCUGUGUGGAGUUUGCAUGUUCUCCCCGGGCCUGCGUGGGUUUUCUCCGGGUGCUCCGGUUUCCUCCCACAUUCCAAAAACAUGCAUGGCAGGCUGAUUGGACGCUCUAAAUUGUCCCUAGGUGUGAGUGUGAGCGUGGAUGGUUGUUCGUCUCUGUGUGCCCUGCGAUUGGCUGGCAACCGAUUCAGGGUGUCCCCCGCCUACUGCCCGAAGACGGCUGGGAUAGGCUCCAGCACCCCCCGCGACCCUAGUGAGGAUCAAGCGGUUAGGAAGAUGAAUGAAUGAAUGGUUAGCAUGUCGCAGUUUUGUUUUCGAAACACAAACAGAUUUUUAUUUUUUAUUUCUUUGGAAUGAAGCAUUAGCAUUAGCGCCUAGCAAUAAAUUCUCCAAUAAGUUGAAUUGUUAAUUUUUUUAUUUUUUUGCAAAUGUUUUUGGUUUUAAUCUUAUAUAUAUAUAUAUAUAUAUAUAUAUAUAUAUAUAUAUAUAUAUAUAUAUUCUGUAUAUAUACAGUAUAUCGAUCGUUAUUUUAGCUAGUCUUGUUUUUUAGGAAGCAAACAAUGAAGACAAAUGCGACAACAACAGCCUGUGCCCACGUUGUGUUUUUGUCAGCGACGAUGACAAUGAUGAAAUGAUUUUGCUGACUGACCUUUUUUUUUUUUUUUCACAACAGUAACACGAUGGUGACAAUCUUAUAAUGUUACUCGACAAUCAUUUGGUGAUAAAUGUCAUCGCAAGCUUGAAUUUUGCUAUGUAAAUCUGGUGCUAAUGGGCUGCUAGCUAGCUAGCAAGCAUCCGUUUAUUAGCUGCUCUGUGUGCUACUGUUAAGAGUAGAACAUGCAGGGGGGGUUGGGGGAGGGGGUUUGGCCGGGAUGGAAAGUGUAAUACGUUGUUGCCUUAUUGAUCCAUGAAUAAAACUAUCAGAUAUCGAUCAGACGAAAAUGUUGAGGAAAUGAACAAUGCAAACAAGGUCAUCAGCAACAGUUUGGACAGACGUACACAAUGGCUUCAAUCAUUUCCCCAGUCUGCUUUCAGGUCGCCCCCCACCCCUCAAGUUUUCCUCCCGACGGAGGAGAUUAUUUCACCGAUGUACACAGACAGAGCCUCGGAGGCACAAGAGUGCCUUCUGCCAUGUGUCGAGGAGCCACAUCAGCGUCACACGGACAAGACCGCAAUCAUCUGAUCGACCCCCACCCCCAUGCAAGUGUGCACACAAGACACUCGCGCCGUCUCAAUGCUCGUCCGUGCUGCCUUACAUGAAUGCUCCUGGUGUGGGGAAAAGCCUUCUUGCUCAGUGCUUCUCAACUUUUAUUGAACCAAGUUCCAUAUUUGACGCCAGGAAAAAUCUAGCAGGCCACCAAAUAAACAAAAAUGUCAGAAUAUAAUUGAUGAUCUCAUCUUAAUUUAUUGACUAUAGAGUUUAUCCGGAGCUCGCAUUUAUCUGUGUUGAUUUAAAUGACAAAUUGACAACUAAUUUUGUACAGUGUAUAUAAAAAGUCUACACACCCCUGUCCAAACACCAGAUUUCAACACCCACAAAAAAAAAAUGAAAACGAGCUAAUUCAUUUCCAAACUUUUUCCACCAUUAAUGUGACCAAUAACUUGUACAGCUCAAUUUAUUUUAGUUGACUUGAUCUUUUUCAGAGGUCCAAGUGCAAAUACACAAAAAUAAUGUGGGAUGUUUCUGCGUUUUGAAUUAACCCAUUUUGGUGCUAGCACCGAAUGCUAUCGUGUCCUGUUCAUAUUUCUUUCCACCUCAUCUAAGGCUCAAACAUUUUACAAGGGAUGGAUGACUAACGAUACCAGGCAUCGUAUCGGUGCCUUAUUUCAAGAUAUCGGUACUCGAAACGUCGACCGAUAACCGUGGUCGUUUCACAAGCAGGAACUAGAAAUGAGAAGAAUAGCAAAUUGCCAUUAACUUUGUACAAUUUUAAGAAAUUUUGCUCUUUUGGGGAAAAUAGCUCUUUCUUUAAAAUGAUCGGUCACUUUUUGGGGGGGGGGGGGGUUGGGGAGGAAUUUUGUGUCUCAAAAGUGCGAGUGGUUUCGUGGUAGUGUCACUGUAGAGUCCCAAAAAUAUAGGGACGACUGCGAUUGGCCACUCUGUGUUUUGUGGGUGUGGCUUCAUGAAAAAAGAAGAAUUCUCGAAACAGCCUUGUAAGAACAAUAAGAAAAUCAAGACAUCAAGCUCAGAAGAACACGGAUAGCAGGAAGUGGUCUUGAACAAACAAAGUCAUAUUUUGUCAAUACGGCAAGGCCGGCGCAUCGCAAGAGAGCUGACUAAUGACGGCGCUAAUUCCCCCCCCCCCCCCCCCCCCACCCCGACGAGCGCAUCCGACGCUCUCGUAGCACUUCCAGGAAAGGAACGCAUUAAGGGCCCGCAUAGAGCCCCCACCAGCUUGCCGCUAAUAGCGUAGCUUCCUCCGGCACCGAGAUUCGUUUUACACAAAUGACACAAAACGCACCCAAAUGAGAAAAAUCUUUCACAAGAUGGCGGCCAAGUUUUCUUUCAACGCAGGUUUUCACAAUCUUCCGACGCAUGUGUGAUUUCUAGCUAUGAGACACCGAUUUUGACACAUUGAAUAGCAUGAUUAAUUCAGGACUUCAUUCUGCACCGUCUGGAUUGGGGGGCAGGGGCUGGGGGGGGGGGGGCGGAACAACAGAAAGAUUAUAUUUAACUGGUACACUAACUGGACACUGUAACAGCCUGUGCCCACCCACGCACUAGCGCAGCCAAUAAAGGCUUUAGUGCCUCAAAUACCGCAGCAACCAUGUGGGAGGAUUUUAUUUAUUCAUUUUCAUUAUUCGUCAGAAAAACAAAACAAAAACAACGGGGGGGAUGCUAUUAAAACCAGUCGAGUGGAGCGAUCAACCCCGCGGAACGUUUUCAAACGCCAAACGGUGACUUCACGUUUUAAUUGGAGACUUGCGUGUGAGAGGUGAUCAUCAUCGGCGCCUUUGCAAUCAAGCGGAGAAGAGAGGUUCAUUCGGAGUCCAUUAAGGUGAGAUUAAAAACAAAUGAGCUUUCCUGAUUUUUUUUUUUUUUUAAGUCCCUUAAUAGUGAAACUGUGAAGACCUUCCAGGCAUUUUGCGUUUUCCACAUUUUGCAAAGCGACUGGCCUCAUUCCUAAAUUCCAUCCACCCAUCUAUUUUUCUAUUCGCUUAUCCUCACAA